RNAcentral lists this transfer RNA (73 nucleotides) under Cellulosilyticum lentocellum DSM 5427. Its description in RNAcentral is "Clostridium lentocellum DSM 5427 tRNA". It matches the Rfam family "tRNA". Rfam says of the family: Transfer RNA (tRNA) molecules are approximately 80 nucleotides in length. Their secondary structure includes four short double-helical elements and three loops (D, anti-codon, and T loops). RNAcentral also lists the same sequence under 2 other names. Lineage: Bacteria; Bacillati; Bacillota; Clostridia; Lachnospirales; Cellulosilyticaceae. The record is from Rfam by way of RNAcentral.
CGGGAUGUGGCCUAGUUGGUAAGGCGCUUGUCUGGGGGGCAAGAGAUCGCGUGUUCAAGUCACGUCAUUCCGA